Molecule: ribosomal RNA, 120 nt
Filed under: uncultured Roseobacter sp.
Lineage: Bacteria; Pseudomonadati; Pseudomonadota; Alphaproteobacteria; Rhodobacterales; Roseobacteraceae
Description: partial 16S ribosomal RNA
Source: RNAcentral
GGUUUCUUUACCUGCUACAGUCAUUAUCUUCACAGGCGAAAGAGCUUUACGACCCUAAGGCCUUCUUCACUCACGCGGCAUGGCUAGAUCAGGCUUGCGCCCAUUGUCUAAGAUUCCCCA